This 252-nucleotide ribosomal RNA is filed under the name uncultured Bacteroidales bacterium. RNAcentral's name for it is "partial 16S ribosomal RNA". It matches the Rfam family "Bacterial small subunit ribosomal RNA", at positions 524 to 776 of the family's 1533-position model. Lineage: Bacteria; Pseudomonadati; Bacteroidota; Bacteroidia; Bacteroidales. The record is from RNAcentral.
UACGUAGGUGGCGAGCGUUAUCCGGAAUGAUUGGGUUUAAAGGGUGCGUAGGCGGACUGUCAAGUCAGCGGUAAAAUACGGGGGCUCAACCCCGUCCGGCCGUUGAAACUGGGGGCCUUGAGUGGGCGAGAAGAAGGCGGAAUGCGUGGUGUAGCGGUGAAAUGCAUAGAUAUCACGCAGAACCCCGAUUGCGAAGGCAGCCUUCCGGCGCCCUACUGACGCUGAGGCACGAAAGUGCGGGGAUCGAACAGG